This 301-nucleotide ribosomal RNA is filed under the name uncultured bacterium. RNAcentral describes it as "partial 16S ribosomal RNA". It matches the Rfam family "Bacterial small subunit ribosomal RNA", at positions 509 to 808 of the family's 1533-position model. The record is from RNAcentral.
CAGCAGCCACGGGAAUACAGAGGGUGCGAGCGUUAAUCGGAUUUACUGGGCGUAAAGCGUGCGUAGGCGGCUUCUUAAGUCGGAUGUGAAAUCCCUGAGCUUAACUUAGGAAUUGCAUUCGAUACUGGGAAGCUAGAGUAUGGGAGAGGAUGGUAGAAUUCCAGGUGUAGCGGUGAAAUGCGUAGAGAUCUGGAGGAAUACCGAUGGCGAAGGCAGCCAUCUGGCCUAAUACUGGACGCUGAGGUGCGAAAGCGUGGGGAGCAAACAGGAUUAGAUACCCCAGUAGUCCCUGUCUCUUAUA